RNAcentral lists this transfer RNA (73 nucleotides) under Penicillium decumbens. It matches the Rfam family "tRNA". From Rfam's summary of the family: Transfer RNA (tRNA) molecules are approximately 80 nucleotides in length. Their secondary structure includes four short double-helical elements and three loops (D, anti-codon, and T loops). Further hydrogen bonds mediate the characteristic L-shaped molecular structure. tRNAs have two regions of fundamental functional importance: the anti-codon, which is responsible for specific mRNA codon recognition, and the 3' end, to which the tRNAs corresponding amino acid is attached (by aminoacyl-tRNA synthetases). tRNAs cope with the degeneracy of the genetic code in two manners: having more than one tRNA (with a specific anti-codon) for a particular amino acid; and 'wobble' base-pairing, i.e. permitting non-standard base-pairing at the 3rd anti-codon position. The record is from Rfam by way of RNAcentral. Lineage: Eukaryota; Fungi; Ascomycota; Eurotiomycetes; Eurotiales; Aspergillaceae.
GCCCGCUUGUCCCAGUGGUUAAGGAGCUCCGCUUGUAACGGAGAGAUCGGUGGUUCGAAUCCGCCAGUGGGCU